This 253-nucleotide ribosomal RNA is filed under the name uncultured bacterium. RNAcentral's name for it is "partial 16S ribosomal RNA". It matches the Rfam family "Bacterial small subunit ribosomal RNA", at positions 524 to 776 of the family's 1533-position model. The record is from RNAcentral.
UACGGAAUGUGCAAACGUUAUUCGGAAUCACUGGGCUUAAAGAGUCCGUAGGCGGCAUGUGAGGUGAGGUGUGAAAUCCCCCGGCUCAACCGAGGAAUUGCGCUUCAAACCGGCGUGCUAGAGGAAGAUAGAGGUGGGCGGAACUGAUGGUGGAGCGGUGAAAUGCGUUGAUAUCAUCAGGAACACCGGAGGCGAAGGCGGCCCACUGGGUCUUUUCUGACGCUGAGGGACGAAAGCUAGGGGAGCGAACGGG